RNAcentral lists this ribosomal RNA (452 nucleotides) under uncultured bacterium. RNAcentral's name for it is "bacterial SSU rRNA". It matches the Rfam family "Bacterial small subunit ribosomal RNA", at positions 28 to 526 of the family's 1533-position model. The record is from RNAcentral.
AGCGAACGCUGGCGGCAGGCUUAACACAUGCAAGUCGAGCGGGCCCUUCGGGGUCAGCGGCGGACGGGUGAGUAACACGUGGGAACGUGCCCUUUGGUUCGGAAUAGCACCUGGAAACGGGUGGUAAUACCGGAUGGGCCCUUCGGGGGAAAGAUUUAUCGCCAUUGGAGCGGCCCGCGUCGGAUUAGGUAGUUGGUGGGGUAAAGGCCCACCAAGCCUUCGAUCCGUAGCUGGUCUGAGAGGAUGAUCAGCCACACUGGGACUGAGACACGGCCCAGACUCCUACGGGAGGCAGCAGUGGGGAAUCUUGCGCAAUGGGCGAAAGCCUGACGCAGCCAUGCCGCGUGAGUGAUGAAGGCCUUAGGGUUGUAAAACUCUUUCACCGGGGACGAUAAUGACGGUACCCGGAGAAGAAGCCCCGGCUAACUUCGUGCCAGCCGCCGCCGUAACAC